GUUGAAGUUCAGGUAACACUGAAUGGAGGACCGAACCGACUUACGUUGAAAAGUGAGCGGAUGAACUGAGGGUAGCGGAGAAAUUCCAAUCGAACCUGGAGAUAGCUGGUUCUCUCCGAAAUAGCUUUAGGGCUAGCCUCAAGUGAUGAUUAUUGGAGGUAGAGCACUGUUUGGACGAGGGGCCCCUCUCGGGUUACCGAAUUCAGACAAACUCCGAAUGCCAAUUAAUUUAACUUGGGAGUC
Molecule: ribosomal RNA, 243 nt
Filed under: Staphylococcus aureus
Lineage: Bacteria; Bacillati; Bacillota; Bacilli; Caryophanales; Staphylococcaceae
Description: partial 23S ribosomal RNA
Rfam family: Bacterial large subunit ribosomal RNA
Source: RNAcentral